Molecule: ribosomal RNA, 228 nt
Filed under: uncultured bacterium
Lineage: Bacteria
Description: partial 16S ribosomal RNA
Rfam family: Bacterial small subunit ribosomal RNA
Source: RNAcentral
CGGGGUGAGUAAUGUCUGGGAAACUGCCUGAUGGAGGGGGAUAACUACUGGAAACGGUAGCUAAUACCGCAUAACGUCGCAAGACCAAAGAGGGGACCUUAGGGCCUCUUGCCAUCGGAUGUGCCCAGAUGGGAUUAGCUAGUAGGUGGGGUAAUGGCUCACCUAGGCGACGAUCCCUAGCUGGUCUGAGAGGAUGACCAGCCACACUGGAACUGAGACACGGUCCAG